RNAcentral lists this ribosomal RNA (252 nucleotides) under uncultured microorganism. RNAcentral describes it as "partial 16S ribosomal RNA". It matches the Rfam family "Bacterial small subunit ribosomal RNA", at positions 524 to 776 of the family's 1533-position model. The record is from RNAcentral.
UACGUAGGUCCCGAGCGUUGUCCGGAUUUAUUGGGCGUAAAGCGAGCGCAGGUGGUUUAAUAAGUCUGAUGUAAAAGGCAGUGGCUCAACCAUUGUGUGCAUUGGAAACUGUUAGACUUGAGUGCAGUAGAGGAGAGUGGAAUUCCAUGUGUAGCAGUGAAAUGCGUAGAUAUAUGGAGGAACACCGGUGGCGAAAGCGGCUCUCUGGACUGUAACUGACACUGAGGCUCGAAAGCGUGGGUAGCAAACAGG